RNAcentral lists this ribosomal RNA (521 nucleotides) under Hordeum muticum. The record is from RNAcentral. Lineage: Eukaryota; Viridiplantae; Streptophyta; Magnoliopsida; Poales; Poaceae.
UUUUUAAUAUAUUUUUGCUCCACGCGAGAAAGAUGCGUACGUGCGCGGAAUAUAUUAAGCACGGUUCCUUAUUUCCGACUUCUCGUGCUGAUCAGUUUGAUAUAUUAUACGGUUUUUUUCGACAUCGUAUGCAAAAGUUAUAGCCGUUUUACUUUUUCAUAACACUUUUUUGCAAAACAUGUCAAAAUUUAUGUUUUUGAAUUUUCCUAACUAAUAGAUGUAGUAACAUAAAUACAUCUCGAAGGAUUUUAAUUUUUGAAGUUUUUAUCAUUUUCUUUUCUUUUUUUCAAAACUAAAAUGGCGAUAGGGGGGGCAGCAUAAUGGACGAAGGCGGGGGUAACAUGUCGGAUGCGAUCAUACCAGCACUAAAGCACCGGAUCCCAUCAGAACUUCAAAGUUAAGCGUGCUUGGGCGAGAGUAGUACUAGGAUUGAUCCCAUCAGAACUCCGAAGUUAAGCGUGCUUGGGCGAGAGUAGUACUAGGAUGGGUGACCUCCUGGGAAGUCCUCGUGUUGCAUUCCC